RNAcentral lists this long non-coding RNA (1232 nucleotides) under Vitis vinifera (wine grape). RNAcentral describes it as "long non-coding RNA (VVIN_LNC001255)". The record is from RNAcentral. Lineage: Eukaryota; Viridiplantae; Streptophyta; Magnoliopsida; Vitales; Vitaceae.
AGCGGGCUCCUCGGCCCCAGCAUAUGGGAGGGCACUGUAGCACGUGAAUUCUUCUUGCUGGAUUCUUUGUAUAUUUCCUGGUCAUUUUCCUUUCAUCUCCUGUGCGUUAAGUCAGAAUCACAUCGCUUAGCAGUAUGGAGGAGAAAUGUGUAUCCCCAGAAAAUAUAUAAUUUUGAGGAGAAAAAAUUUUGAUUUAUAAGAAAAAAUUGUGUAAAAUCAUUGGAUGGGUAAUGGUGUAGGUUAGUAUGAUAAUGCCCAUUUGGUAGCGAAUUUGAGGACGAGGAUACAAAAGGAUGAAAAGUUUCUUCAUUUUUGGUUUCUUCCUUUCUCUUUGAGAAAAGUUGGCUCUCCUGUCCUGGAAGUGAGGAGAUUGAAGGAGUUGAGGGAUUAAAAGAUAAUGACGGAUUGACUGGAUUGACUGGAUUGAACAUCAAAUACUGGUCAGAACGAGAAGGGUGCUCUACAAUCAGGUUGAUUGUAAAUCAGGGUGUUCUAUGAUCAUGCUGAUCUUUGAUCAGAAGUGCUCAUAAAUCAGGAUGGUCGUAUAUCAGGUUGAUCUUUGAUCAGAAGUGGUCGAAACAAUCAAGGUGGUCUACGAUCUUAAGAGGGAGGAUGAAGACUGAUCUCCCUUCAAAUGCCAUUGUAUAAAUUAUUGUAUUUUUUUAAAGUGGUAUUUUAUAUGAAAUAUUUGCUGGACAAGAUUUUAAAAAAACAAUCCCUAUUUAAUGAAAACUAUAAAUAAAUAAUUUUUUUUAUCUGGUCCAAGAAAUCUUUAUAAUUCCUUUUAAAGUAUUUAAUUGUAAGUAAAAGGGUUGUUUUUAUAUAAAGAUUAAAAAGAAUUUAAUUUUAUAAAAUAUAAAUUUUAAACAGUUAUUUAAAAUUAAUUAAUAUUUUAUAUUUUUUUAUUAAAUUAAGGAGUUUAUCUAUAAUCAUUUUCGCACUAUUUUUUUAUAAUAAUAUGUACCAUCUUUUUUCAUAAAUACAUGAAAUUUGAAUUAUUUUUAGAAGGAAUUAAUUUUGUGACUAUUUUUAUAUGUAUGAAAUUAAAUUUUGAGGAGAAAAAAUUUUGAUUUAUAAGAAAAAAUUGUGUAAAAAGGUUGGAUGGGUAAUGGUGUAGGUUAGUAUGAUAAUGCCCAUUUGGUAGCGAAUUUGAGUACGAGGAUACGAAAGGAUGAAAAGUUUCUUCUUUUUUGGUUUCUUCCUUUCUCUUUGAGAAAAGUUGGUUCUCCUGU